This 498-nucleotide long non-coding RNA is filed under the name Homo sapiens (human). RNAcentral describes it as "HSALNT0264342". Lineage: Eukaryota; Metazoa; Chordata; Mammalia; Primates; Hominidae. The record is from RNAcentral.
AUUCAGCUGGGGAUUUGGAGGCCCUAAAGGGCAGUGUAGCCAAUGGACAGGUGAUCCCAGGUACCUGCAUGAGUGGAGGCAGGCCCUUCCUGCAGACCUGCACUGAACUAUAACGUGGGCAGAUGUUCAACUCUUAUAUGAGUUGGUGACACUUUGGUUGAAACAUUUCCAAGGACUGAAGAAUAUGUUUAUUAUCAAACCAACUGAUUAUGAAAAUAAUCUGUAUUUUUAAGGACAGGGCUGGCCUGAGUGAUCAAUAGAAUACUGUAGACGCAACAACAUGUGGCUUCUGAGGAAGCAUUGUAGCCUCUUGGUUUGUUCAUGCUGUGGAAGCCAGCUGCCAUGUCAAGAGGAUGCUCAAGCAGCCAUGUGGAAAGGCCCGUAUGGCACAGCAAGAGAGUGGCCAACUGCAAGCCAGGAAGAAACCUUCAGCAGAUCCCAACCAUGCUAGUACCCUGAUCCAGACAUUCAGCCUUCAGAACUGUAAAAAGUAGAAUA